GAUGAACGCUGGCGGCGUGCCUAAUACAUGCAAGUCGAGCGAACAGACGAGGAGCUUGCUCCUCUGACGUUAGCGGCGGACGGGUGAGUAACACGUGGAUAACCUACCUAUAAGACUGGGAUAACUUCGGGAAACCGGAGCUAAUACCGGAUAAUAUAUUGAACCGCAUGGUUCAAUAGUGAAAGACGGUUUUGCUGUCACUUAUAGAUGGAUCCGCGCCGCAUUAGCUAGUUGGUAAGGUAACGGCUUACCAAGGCAACGAUGCGUAACCGACCUGAGAGGGUGAUCGGCCACACUGGAACUGAGACACGGUCCAGACUCCUACGGGAGGCAGCAGUAGGGAAUCUUCCGCAAAGGGCGAAAGCCUGACGGAGCAACGCCGCGUGAGUGAUGAAGGUCUUCGGAUCGUAAAACUCUGUUAUUAGGGAAGAACAAAUGUGUAAGUAACUAUGCACGUCUUGACGGUACCUAAUCAGAAAGCCACGGCUAACUACGUG
RNAcentral lists this ribosomal RNA (497 nucleotides) under uncultured bacterium. RNAcentral's name for it is "partial 16S ribosomal RNA". It matches the Rfam family "Bacterial small subunit ribosomal RNA", at positions 28 to 507 of the family's 1533-position model. The record is from RNAcentral.